RNAcentral lists this transfer RNA (72 nucleotides) under Bos taurus (domestic cattle). It matches the Rfam family "tRNA". From Rfam's summary of the family: Transfer RNA (tRNA) molecules are approximately 80 nucleotides in length. RNAcentral also lists the same sequence under 3 other names. The record is from Rfam by way of RNAcentral. Lineage: Eukaryota; Metazoa; Chordata; Mammalia; Artiodactyla; Bovidae.
UCCCUGGUGGCUCAGAUGGUGAACAAUCUGCCUGCAAUGCAGGAGACCCAGAUUUGAUCCCUGGUUAGGGAA